ACGUAGGGUGCAAGCGUUAUCCGGAAUUAUUGGGCGUAAAGGGCUCGUAGGCGGUUCGUCGCGUCCGGUGUGAAAGUCCAUCGCUUAACGGUGGAACCGCGCCGGGUACGGGCGGGCUUGAGGGCGGUAGGGGAGAGUGGAAUUCCCGGUGUAGCGGUGGAAUGUGUAGAUAUUGGGAAGAACACCAGUGGCGAAGGCGGGUCACUGGGACGUCACUGACGCUGAGGAGCGAAAGCGUGGGGAGCGAACAG
Molecule: ribosomal RNA, 251 nt
Filed under: uncultured prokaryote
Description: partial 16S rRNA
Rfam family: Bacterial small subunit ribosomal RNA
Source: RNAcentral